Long non-coding RNA from Myotis brandtii (Brandt's bat), 1358 nucleotides. RefSeq lists it as uncharacterized. The transcript is spliced from 2 exons. The record is from RefSeq and is a predicted model, not a curated record. NCBI's taxonomy places the organism in Eukaryota, Metazoa, Chordata, Mammalia, Chiroptera, Vespertilionidae.
GCACAGCAUGACCCGUCUGGCCAAAGCGCCAGAUAUGCAGCCCAGCACAGCACAAGGUCACACGGGCAGGAAGUAGAAGAAACAAGACUGGAGCCAAACCAGUCAACUUAUUGAUGUUACAGGGAUUCAGAAAAUGGUGAACUCUCACACAUGUCCUUCACGUGGGACAGCAGUAUUCCGUGUCUGCCAUGGAGAGAAGUCCCAGUGUCAGCACAGAAAACCAUGGGCCAGCACAUCAAAUCCCGGGAUGGCCGACAGAAAUCAGCUCUGCGAGGGAAGAGCAGACAUCUUGCAGAGGAGUUCCCCUGGGGCAAAAUUAGUCUCUGCGAUAUUUUCAUUAUAAUCCAGAUGUCUUAGCAUAGCUAGCGAAAACAUCAUGUUCCUUCACCUUUAAACCUGAAUGCAAUGCCUGCCAUGUCUGUAAAGAAAAGGAAGAGGGAGGGAAAGUGAGGAAGAGGGCACUGAGAGUGAGAAUAGCCCAUUAUUUUGUCCUGGGAGUUUGUAGAAUCUAUGGUCUCCCUAAUGUACUCUUUAAAGUACUUUUUCUUUAUUUUUAGCUUUAAGAUGAUUGAGUAUAAAAGCUCUUCCAGAGGGCAGGAAGCAAACUACGGUCCAGUCCCCAACUUAUUUAUUCCAAAGGGGCAUCAAAAAGUCAGUCAUUUUGUUUCUGUGAUUUUUUUUUCUCACGAAAACAAUAUCAUAGGUAGCUCAGUCCUGCUGGCCACUGGACCAGCACUGCUCAGUCUCCCUGAGGGACUGGUCAUGGCCCCAGUCCCCGGAUCCUCAGCAGGUGGGUGAACCUUAGCAGGUGCAACCUUCCCUCGUGGUACCGCUUUGAAAUUCUUAAUCACCUAACCUUUGGUUUGGUUUUGUAGGUAAAGUGUGUUGGAACAAGGGAGCAUGCACUGGGCCUUGCCACCUGCAGUUCUGCCUCCUGCCGCGUGGGAUGGGAUCUGUGCCUCCUUCCCCAUGCCCCGCCCCAGCCCCGCCCCUUGCCCACAGCUGCCCUCCGCCCCUGGCAGGGCCUGUCCACAGAUGCAGGAGGAUGGGAUGGGCGCACACCCCACAGGGUUUCUCUGCCCUGCACGGGCAGCGCCACGGUGUGCUUGGAGGGUGACUGAGCUGGAGCAAGCCUCCUUUCACAGUGACUCACUCUCCAUUCAGUGUAAAUAUGACCUCAUCCAAGAUACAACCUAAUUAACAAAACAUGUUUUAAGUUAUUUUGGGAUGGUGUGAUUGCUCUAAAAAUCCCUUUGAUCUGUGGGUUUAUGUUUAUGACAGUUCUUUAAAGUGCGAAACGCUUGAAACGUCAACAUUAAUAUUCUCUGAAAAAGUAGAGUAAAUGAAUGUGGAUGCAA